AUUUGGUGAAGAUGGUAUCUU
This 21-nucleotide non-coding RNA is filed under the name Arabidopsis thaliana (thale cress). Lineage: Eukaryota; Viridiplantae; Streptophyta; Magnoliopsida; Brassicales; Brassicaceae. The record is from RNAcentral.